GACGAACGCUGGCGGCGUGCCUAAUACAUGCAAGUCGAACGCUUCUUUCCUCCCGAGUGCUUGCACUCAAUUGGAAAGAGGAGUGGCGGACGGGUGAGUAACACGUGGGUAACCUACCCAUCAGAGGGGGAUAACACUUGGAAACAGGUGCUAAUACCGCAUAACAGUUUAUGCCGCAUGGCAUAAGAGUGAAAGGCGCUUUCGGGUGUCGCUGAUGGAUGGACCCGCGGUGCAUUAGCUAGUUGGUGAGGUAACGGCUCACCAAGGCCACGAUGAAUAGCCGACCUGAGAGGGUGAUCGGCCACACUGGGACUGAGACACGGCCCAGACUCCUACGGGAGGUAGCAGUAGGGAAUCUUCGGCAAUGGACGGAAGUCUGACCGAGCAACGCCGCGUGAGUGAAGAAGGUUUUCGGAUCGUAAAACUCUGUUGUUAGAGAAGAACAAGGACGUUAGUAACUGAACGUCCCCUGACGGUAUCUAACCAGAAAGCCACGGCUAACUACGUGCCAGCAGCCGCGGUAA
Molecule: ribosomal RNA, 524 nt
Filed under: uncultured bacterium
Lineage: Bacteria
Description: partial 16S ribosomal RNA
Rfam family: Bacterial small subunit ribosomal RNA
Source: RNAcentral